UAAGGAAUAUUGGUCAAUGGACGCAAGUCUGAACCAGCCAUGCCGCGUGAAGGAUUAAGGCCCUCUGGGUUGUAAACUUCUUUUAUAGGGGAAGAAAUGUGACGGUUCUCCGUCACUUGACGGUACCCUGGGAAUAAGCACCGGCUAACUCCGUGCCAGCAGCCGCGGUAAUACGGAGGGUGCAAGCGUUAUCCGGAUUCACUGGGUUUAAAGGGUGCGUAGGUGGGCAGAUAAGUCAGUGGUGAAAUCUUCCGGCUUAACCGGGAAACUGCCGCUGAUACUAUUUGUCUUGAAUAUUGCGGAGGUAAGCGGAAUAUGUCAUGUAGCGGUCAAAUGCUUAGAUAUGACAUAAAACACCAAUUGCGAAGGCAGCUAACUACACAAUCAUUGACACUGAGGCACGAAAGCGUGGGUAGCGAACA
RNAcentral lists this ribosomal RNA (422 nucleotides) under uncultured bacterium. RNAcentral describes it as "bacterial SSU rRNA". It matches the Rfam family "Bacterial small subunit ribosomal RNA", at positions 355 to 774 of the family's 1533-position model. The record is from RNAcentral.